CUACACAAUAAAUGACACUUUUUCUCUGUCACUACUCUGUACCCUGAGAAAAAAAAGGUCUGAGUGACUCCGAGCAGAAAAUGGUACCUAGCUGUAGUGGAGUGAGUAGGUGUGGUAACUGCUAUUGUUCCAGAAUGAGAUAGAAAAACUGUGGGUAAGAAAGCUUGGACUGAAUAGCUUUACAAAACUUGGAAAGACUACAACAGAAAUGUCUUCAGAUAACAUGAAGUGUAAGGUAAAUAUCCACAGCCCUCUGAAAAAGGCCCUGCAGCCCACCUCUGGGUCCUGAUCUACCUGUUGAUGGCCACACACACACUCACUGUGACUGUAAUAACUAUUCAUCUUUAAUAUGUGUAUUAUCUACUAUUACUUCAAUUACUUGGUCAUUUACUUUACCUCACUUGCUAUAAAUGUAUUUUUUUCUUUC
Molecule: long non-coding RNA, 427 nt
Organism: Notolabrus celidotus (New Zealand spotty)
Lineage: Eukaryota; Metazoa; Chordata; Actinopteri; Labriformes; Labridae
Exons: 3
Source: RefSeq, a predicted model, not a curated record